AUUAAAGAUGUCAAUUUAUCCUUCUGCAGAUAAAUUUAACUGCUUAAUUUUAGACUGAGAUUAACUAUUUUUCAUGAUGGUAGCUUGACAGUUUUCAGUAUCUAAGCGUGACCAGGGUGAAAUUGUGAUGGAAAAACUUUUCAUAUCAGUAAUUUAUUCUUUAAAUCAAUGCUAAUAGUUAGUCCUAGGGCUAGAAAUUUAAUAACAGCAUAAUGAUUAUUAAAGAUUGCUUAGAGGAAAUUAAAUGCCCCCAAAAGGUGUUGCUUUUACAAUAACGACAAUAUCUGUGCUUAAAAUUCAAAUCAGCUUUUCCUAAUUACCCAUGAAAAAUUACUACUUCACUUUUAUGGAUUCAACCCAUAAAAGUUUUCUUCCUUCGAACAGCUACCUGGGGAUACGAGGUCAGCAAAUACUGCUUUAGCUGUCCCCAUGUCUAUGGGGCAUCUCUGGAGGGGACUCAACCUGUGAGGAGUCAAAUGGGCUGCUUUGUCAAGGGGCUGGUGCUUGGCAGACUUUUGUAACACGUCUCCUGCCAAGAGCUCUUUCCAGCAGACGGUAACAGCUGGGUUAUGACUGACUUCGAAAAGUGCAGAAGGAGCCCUUAUGAAGGGCCCAUUGUACUAUCCCAAUGAUUUUUUCUUGCGAGCAGGCUUUUGCUGUACCAUGGCAUCAUUUAUUCAGGCAAUUGGGGAGGAUAUGCGUUAAGACAGCUGGCAUGGUAAAGCAGAGUGCUGGACUGGCUCCUGAGUGAAGUCCCAGUGACUUGAAUGGGAUUUCACCUUUUUGUAGAUGAAAUAUAGAGCUUAUAGGAGAAAGGGCUCUUCUUACUGCUGAUGUUUGAAAAUACUUGUGGUACUGAAUGGUUUUAUUACUGUAAGAGUAAUACCAAAUAAUACUGUAAGAGUAACCAAAAAGGCAAUUUAGGAAAAAGCAGAAGGGCGCCUCAAUCUCUAUAGCAGUCUUUUUAUUUAUGGAUAGAUCCGUGUCACACAAUAAUCUGUACAACAAAUGACUAUGUAAACCAAUUUACUCAUUCUAAAUGUAUAUUAUAAAUAAACAGUUUAUGUCAAAAUU
Long non-coding RNA from Gallus gallus (chicken), 1074 nucleotides. Lineage: Eukaryota; Metazoa; Chordata; Aves; Galliformes; Phasianidae. The record is from Ensembl.